AUGAACGCUAGCUACAGGCUUAACACAUGCAAGUCGAGGGGCAGCAUGGUCUUAGCUUGCUAAGACUGAUGGCGACCGGCGCACGGGUGAGUAACACGUAUCCAACCUGCCGUCUACUCUUGGACAGCCUUCUGAAAGGAAGAUUAAUACAAGAUGGCAUCAUGAGUCCACAUGUUCACAUGAUUAAAGGUAUUCCGGUAGACGAUGGGGAUGCGUUCCAUUAGAUAGUAGGCGGGGUAACGGCCCACCUAGUCUUCGAUGGAUAGGGGUUCUGAGAGGAAGGUCCCCCACAUUGGAACUGAGACACGGUCCAAACUCCUACGGGAGGCAGCAGUGAGGAAUAUUGGUCAAUGGGCGAGAGCCUGAACCAGCCAAGUAGCGUGAAGGAUGACUGCCCUAUGGGUUGUAAACUUCUUUUAUAAAGGAAUAAAGUCGGGUAUGCAUACCCGUUUGCAUGUACUUUAUGAAUAAGGAUCGGCUAACUCCGUGCCAGCAGCCGCGGUAAUACGGAGGAUCCGAGCGUUAUCCGGAUUUAUUGGGUUUAAAGGGAGCGUAGAUGGAUGUUUAAGUCAGUUGUGAAAGUUUGCGGCUCAACCGUAAAAUUGCAGUUGAUACUGGAUAUCUUGAGUGCAGUUGAGGCAGGCGGAAUUCGUGGUGUAGCGGUGAAAUGCUUAGAUAUCACGAAGAACUCCGAUUGCGAAGGCAGCCUGCUAAGCUGCAACUGACAUUGAGGCUCGAAAGUGUGGGUAUCAAACAGGAUUAGAUACCCUGGUAGUCCACACGGUAAACGAUGAAUACUCGCUGUUUGCGAUAUACAGCAAGCGGCCAAGCGAAAGCGUUAAGUAUUCCACCUGGGGAGUACGCCGGCAACGGUGAAACUCAAAGGAAUUGACGGGGGCCCGCACAAGCGGAGGAACAUGUGGUUUAAUUCGAUGAUACGCGAGGAACCUUACCCGGGCUUAAAUUGCAGAUGAAUUACGGUGAAAGCCGUAAGCCGCAAGGCAUCUGUGAAGGUGCUGCAUGGUUGUCGUCAGCUCGUGCCGUGAGGUGUCGGCUUAAGUGCCAUAACGAGCGCAACCCUUGUUGUCAGUUACUAACAGGUCCUGCUGAGGACUCUGACAAGACUGCCAUCGUAAGAUGUGAGGAAGGUGGGGAUGACGUCAAAUCAGCACGGCCCUUACGUCCGGGGCUACACACGUGUUACAAUGGGGGGUACAGAGGGCCGCUACCACGCGAGUGGAUGCCAAUCCCCAAAACCUCUCUCAGUUCGGACUGGAGUCUGCAACCCGACUCCACGAAGCUGGAUUCGCUAGUAAUCGCGCAUCAGCCACGGCGCGGUGAAUACGUUCCCGGGCCUUGUACACACCGCCCGUCAAGCCAUGGGAGCCGGGGGUACCUGAAGUGCGUAACCGCGAGGAGCGCCCUAGGGUAAAACUGGUGACUGGG
Molecule: ribosomal RNA, 1446 nt
Filed under: uncultured organism
Description: SSU rRNA
Rfam family: Bacterial small subunit ribosomal RNA
Source: RNAcentral